This 69-nucleotide transfer RNA is filed under the name Phyllomimus detersus. Its description in RNAcentral is "tRNA-Leu". It matches the Rfam family "tRNA". Rfam says of the family: Transfer RNA (tRNA) molecules are approximately 80 nucleotides in length. Their secondary structure includes four short double-helical elements and three loops (D, anti-codon, and T loops). The record is from RNAcentral. Lineage: Eukaryota; Metazoa; Arthropoda; Insecta; Orthoptera; Tettigoniidae. RNAcentral also lists the same sequence under 1 other name.
UCUAAUAUGGCAGAAUAGUGCAUUAGAUUUAAGCUCUAAAUAAGUAGUGUUGAUCCACUUCUAUUAGAA